AGAAUUAAAAGCCUCUCUAUGGCAAGGGCCACUUUAAUAAUGCAAUGUCUUAAUAAUAAGUAAGUGUUUCAAUACUUAUUUUUUCCCCAUUUCACUUGAUAAAGGCUCCAAUUGAUAAAGUAAUUUCUACCCUCCGAAUUCAUAUUCAUCAUAUAAAUAAGUCAUUUCAUUUUGUCUGGCUUGCCAUUCCAAAUAACAUUGAAUAUGUUUUGCCCAUAUAACUAAAACAGGUCACUACUGUAGGUGUAGGCAAAACCAUUAGCAAAUAGGUGAACUGUAAUAUAAUUUGUGUUCCACAAUAAUUCACUGUUGCCUCCUUUUUCAGGUAUCGUGGCUUGAGAUUUCUUUAAGGAAGAAAUCAUCAAGAGAUUUGCUGGACCCAAUGCCAGAAAGAUGUUUCUAGGACAAGAUUAUUUCUUUCAAGUCUCACCAGAUUGGAUCUGCUGGAUGGUUGGGAUUUCUCACUAAGGAUUAGCUAUCAAUUCCCUGACCCUGUAACUCUGGAGUGAGUUAAUUUGAAGGGAGAAAAAUGGUUUCAGGUUAUGGCAAAGGUGACCACAGAUGGUUCCUAGAUGCAUGAAAGGGAUAAUUCGGCAGAGAACAGUGUGAGCCUCACCCCCUCUAACUGGUUGAAGUAUUGGAGACAAUGGCGUUCACUAUGGUCCUUCACCACUUCUACCGUGAGACCUGAGUCCGAACCAGCAACCUUUACAUAGCAUCUGCUGGUGUACUGGUAGGACAAUUGACAAGACAUUAACGACUGGAAAGGAUGGUGGUGGCUCAGGUGAGCAAUUCAUCUGCUUGGGAAAAUCUGAUUACUGAAAUCGGGACAUUACCAAGUGUCUAAUGUUUAAUGCGUUGAUGUUGUUUACUUGCUACUUUGAUUGUAGAUUUGAGCUUUAUUAUGAUGAUUAUGAAUGAAAUUCUAUUACUCCCGUUAAUAGAAGUAUAACCUUUAUUAUGAUUUAUUAUAAUGUAUAUUCAUAGAACCUCCUUUUGAUAGAAGCUCAAAUCUAAAUCCUUACAUUAAAAUGUAAUGAUAAUUAUCACAGAUUGACUGAUAAGAGGAGGGAAUGUGAUGGAAAAUGGUAUCAUGUGAAGAGACAGCCUUGAAACUCUUGUCUUUCGUGUCAUAAAUAUUCCGUGGUUCCUGCCUGUGCUUGGUAAAGAUAAGAGCAGGGGUGACAUGAUCCCCUCCUUAGGACCAUCUGGCAGAACACCCAGAAUAUGUUCUAUAAAUUAAGAUAGGAAACAGUGCCGGACACAUACCAGAACCUCUGGUCUGAUGAAACAAAAAUAGAACUGUUUGGUAAUAAUGACCGUCGUUAUGUUUGGAAGA
Molecule: long non-coding RNA, 1339 nt
Organism: Oncorhynchus kisutch (coho salmon)
Lineage: Eukaryota; Metazoa; Chordata; Actinopteri; Salmoniformes; Salmonidae
Exons: 3
Source: RefSeq, a predicted model, not a curated record